AUGGCCAUGGGGCUGGGAAGAUUCACACACUGGCUCUGGCCGGGUAACGCCGCGCGAGUUGGCCACCACGAGCUCCCCGGCAUCGCCUUGACGGGCGCCUCCUUCCCGGAGUUCCCCUCCGGGUUCCGUGAGGCUGACGCUAUCGCCGCCGCCGCCGGCCGCCGCACGCGGCCGAGGAGGGUCAAGAACCAGCGGCGCAGUCGCGGGGAGCCCAGGAUCGACAGGGAGUACGACAUGGUCAUCGUGCCGUCCGACGGCGGCGGUUGCCUUUCCGGGUCAGAGUCCGACGACUCCGACUGGUCCAUCGGCUGGCUGGAGCCGCAGGCGCCGGAGAUGCAGACGGACGGUGACCAGGAGACCUCCUUCGCAGUUCUCGUCCCCUGCUACCGCCACGGCCGCGCCGAGCAGCCCGCGAUGCCCCAGGGACGGUUCCUUGGCGCUGGCCCUCUCGCCGAUGGCGGCCUCUCUGAUGGAAAGAAUUUUGUAGAACAGUGGCUUUCUUCCCUCCAGAACUGA
RNAcentral lists this ribosomal RNA (516 nucleotides) under Triticum aestivum (bread wheat). RNAcentral's name for it is "partial small subunit ribosomal RNA". Lineage: Eukaryota; Viridiplantae; Streptophyta; Magnoliopsida; Poales; Poaceae. The record is from RNAcentral.